UACAGGGGGGGCAAGCGUUGUUCGGAAUUACUGGGCGUAAAGGGUUCGUAGGUGGCCACUUAAGUCAGACGUGAAAUCCCUCAGCUUAACUGGGGAACUGCGUCUGAUACUGAGUGGCUUGAGUGCAGGAGAGGAAUGCGGAAUUCCAGGUGUAGCGGCGAAAUGCGUAGAUAUCUGGAGGAACACCGGUGGCGAAGGCGGCAUUCUGGACUGUAACUGACACUGAGGAACGAAAGCCAGGGGAGCAAACGGG
RNAcentral lists this ribosomal RNA (253 nucleotides) under uncultured bacterium. Its description in RNAcentral is "partial 16S ribosomal RNA". It matches the Rfam family "Bacterial small subunit ribosomal RNA", at positions 524 to 776 of the family's 1533-position model. The record is from RNAcentral.